AGCCCUGUAACUCAGUGGGGAGAGUGCCGCUCUUACAAAGAGGAAGUCGCAGGUUCAAAUCCUGCCGGGGCUACCA
Molecule: transfer RNA, 76 nt
Filed under: Phormidium sp. FACHB-592
Lineage: Bacteria; Bacillati; Cyanobacteriota; Cyanophyceae; Oscillatoriales; Oscillatoriaceae
Also listed under: 1 other name
Description: tRNA-Val
Rfam family: tRNA
About the family: Transfer RNA (tRNA) molecules are approximately 80 nucleotides in length. Their secondary structure includes four short double-helical elements and three loops (D, anti-codon, and T loops).
Source: RNAcentral